ACUGCGGUGUUGCCGCCCCGGAGGAGGUGGGACAACGGCGGUUGUGCCAGUCCGGGCGCUGCACCCCCUUCCCGGAACUCUAAUCGUAUCCCCAAAUAGAGGGAUGGGAACACAUUUGCUUUCGCAGUAAAACGAAACGGACAGAUUGUGAAGAAGCGGACAAACCUCGCGUUAAUAUUCGAACCAGUGGGUGUCCCCAUUGGCACGGAUCACACCCCCAUCUUUUAAUCCCUCCCUCCGCCCGUGUCCCCUCAUUUGCUAGACUUGUCCUCUUCCAGGCCUAGUGCUCGGCGCUUCUGAGAGGAAUAGGCUCACAGAAUAGCGGCGCUGCCGAGACCCCUGGGGUACGCGAGGCAGGGGGAUUCCGCCCCUUUGGAAGGUGGCCGAGACCCUCAGCCACUAAAGGACUUCGUCGAGACAGGAGAGCCCGCAGAGAUCGUUCUCUUCUGGAUAACCAGAUUAUUCCACAAUCAAACUUUAACCCUUUUGGGGGCGCUGUUCCCUUUAACAAACUCUGGAAAAUGUACACAAUCUUGUGCACAACACGAGAGUUAUGGACCUGGGUUGAGAAACGCUGCUUUCUUUUGUUCCCCCUUGGUGACAUCACUUAAACCCAGCCCUCUCUUCGCUGAUACUUUUCUGUGCAUGAGGCUAGGUUGAGAGACAGUGAAGCUAGGCUGGGUACCAGCUCAUUCUCAUCAGCCACAAUGCCCGGCCUAGUCUUGUUCCCUGGUUUGUUUCCACUUUUCCAAUUCUCUCGGCUCCUGACCUUGGCUUUGUGUCCAGUUUUCCACUGUGACCCUGACCUUUGGACUUGGCAGCGAAACUUUAUUUCCCUAACUUUGAUCUUGGGCAUUAGUCUUCAUUCUCCUCAGCCCCACCUCAUCAGAACUUCCCCAUCCUGGUCAUCUACCUUCCCGCAGUUCAUCCUACCCAGCCUACCUGACCAUGCCAUCCCUUUCGACAAAGAUAUUCACACAGGAACAGAUUUGGGCUACCUUGGAAAAGAAGCCAAAGAGCCAGUCAGAUCUUUAUGAAGCCAUGAAAGC
This 1049-nucleotide long non-coding RNA is filed under the name Homo sapiens (human). RNAcentral's name for it is "non-protein coding ADPGK-AS1:10". Lineage: Eukaryota; Metazoa; Chordata; Mammalia; Primates; Hominidae. The record is from RNAcentral.